UAAUAAUAAUAAUAAUAAUACUUUGAUCUAUGUUUGUUACGUCAGAAUGAUCAUGUUUCCUUUCUUGACAAGUUCAUGGUACUCUUUUGUCAGUGCUUUAAUCGAUAUGCUCACAAUAUGUAACUAACAAACAUGUCCUCAAAUUACAGCACAAAAAUAUGGGAAUUAGAGAAAUACAAAACUCAAAAUUUAGAUAUGACAACUGCUGAAGCAAGAUUUGAGCUUGCACUUGGGUUAUA
This 239-nucleotide unclassified non-coding RNA is filed under the name Hevea brasiliensis (rubber tree). Lineage: Eukaryota; Viridiplantae; Streptophyta; Magnoliopsida; Malpighiales; Euphorbiaceae. The record is from RNAcentral.